GUAUUACAAACUGAGUAGCACAUAGCUAGCUUUAUUCAAUAAUAACAGUGGAAAUGUAGCCUAACAAAUGAUGAGUCCCGUCAAUGCCCACUGGGGAAAAUGUUGAGUGAAGACUCGCGACCCUACUGUAUCUCACUGAUCACCUGAAUAUCCUGCAACAUGAUAAGUUGCAGCCACAAAGGGUCAAUACAUUGAAUGUAUUGGCAAAUUACACAUAAUGAUAAGGCAAACCUACAUCUACCUGCAAAGUAUGACAAACAAAACACUCAAGUUUGGUUUCGCGUAAAACUACCUUCACCUACCUCCAUGACAUAGGCAAGGUGCAAACAACACAGAUGAUAAAGACCUUCAAGAUGUCUCAAGUGCGCUCAGCCCUGGCGCAUUCUCAAGGGACAAUAGAGCGCUCAGCCAGUGACGCAUUCACAUGAGAAAAAGCCCCGACAACCCAAGUGCGCUCAGUCAUGGCGCAUUCUCUAGGGACAAUAGAGCGCUCAGCCAGUGACGCAUUCACCGGAGAAAAAGUCCCGAGCCUACAGCUAUAAAGACUCGCCACUUCCAUGCACCACUCGACACAUACCCACGUCUACCAUAGCAAAUCCAAGCAUACAAUUAAACAAUGCAAACAGGACACGCACAUGGCGGCACGCAAUAUAAGAGGCAUACCAAGCAUAUAACAUAUCAUAACAGUGCACAACAGACAUAUAGGAUGAACAUAAUCAAAAGUGCAACUUGCCUUGAACGGUGUUGAAGUACUCUGACGCUUAAUUCCGAUCCGCUUCACACUCCGAACAAUCUAUACGAUUAAUGGAGGCACCAAUAAAUAAACCAUACUCACAUAAAUCACAAUAAAGCCAACAACAAAUAAUUCAAAUAAAAAACUUAAUUAACAGAACAUAUCCGUAGGUAUAUAUUAUCUACAUGCCAGUAGGAUCACAAUGCAAAAAGAAUCAACUGAUUUGGAUCAACGAUUUAAAAGAUAUGGCCUCCGAAAGUUUGAAUUCAAAUUUAAACAAAUUCAAAUUUAAAUAGUUCAAAAUUGUGAAAUUUUGGUUCUGAAGUAUUCUACUGGUCACUAUGAGUACACAGGAAAAAGAAUCAUCUAAAUUGGAGUUAUAGGCUAAAAGAUAUACUUAAAUGAAAUUUUGGUAUGAAAUCUGCCCAAAAUAAAUUGUGUCAAAAUAGAUUUCGUUGAAGAACUGCUGCGGCUGUGGAUGUGCCACGUGGCAGCACGUUAUAGGAUGGAGUGUGUUCGCUGUGAGGGCUAAACGACGGACGGCCGCAACUUAACAGAUAACGGUUCGGAAAUAAAAAAACACAGAUGAUCUAAUCCCGGAUGUUUAAAGAAGAUCGGACGGCUGGGAGACGUGCUCACCUGAGAACAGAGCUGGGCGUUGUCGGAGGUGGAGAAGGACGGCGCCGGCGGCUCGGG
This 1429-nucleotide long non-coding RNA is filed under the name Triticum aestivum (bread wheat). RNAcentral describes it as "long non-coding RNA (TAES_LNC013618)". The record is from RNAcentral. Lineage: Eukaryota; Viridiplantae; Streptophyta; Magnoliopsida; Poales; Poaceae.